Vicugna pacos (alpaca) is the source of this 751-nucleotide non-coding RNA. NCBI's taxonomy places the organism in Eukaryota, Metazoa, Chordata, Mammalia, Artiodactyla, Camelidae. The record is from RefSeq and is a predicted model, not a curated record.
AAACUGGAGGGGGAGAGCCAGGUGAAGGCACUGGGUCCCUGAGCCCCUCAGCCCAAGCUCACCAAGGGGGCUUGUCAGCUUCCAUGUCAAUCCUCCAAAGGCUGUAGCCCCAGGCAGGCUGCUGCUGGGGUGAGGGACACUCUGUAGCAGGCCUGCCCCUUGUCUGGCUAGUUCAGCACAGAAGCCAUAAGCCUAAGGUCCUGAUCUCAGCUGGUCCAGCAUUUAUUUGGCACCAACUAGGUACCAAGCCCUGAUCUGGGACAGGGACCACAGAGAUGAGUCAGUGUAGCCCCUGCCCUGGAGGAGCUCACAGUCCAGUGGGGACACUGGUGUGGAAGAAAUGCAGCAGCUGCUCUGAUGGAAGGAAGCACGUGGGCUUGCAUGAGACUGACAGCGGCCACUCACUCCCGCUGAAGGCAGCAGGGAAGGCUUCCGGAGGAGGCGCUGCCUGGAUGGAGAGAGCAAGACUUCUCUGCAGAUGCCCAAGACCCAUCCAGAAGCCCAGAAAUGUCGGUGGUCUGGUUACUUGUAAGAAAACUGCCAGCUGUGGUCACUUCUCCUCUUCCCACUGGUACACUGACCCUCCCUACCAGCCAGCCCUGUCCCCAGGCUGGUGCAGACACACAUGCAGAAAGCAAGCUGAGUGCCUGUUCUUCCCAGCUGCUACAGGAUUAACUGGACCCCAUGGCAGCCACCAGCACCAGAGCACAACCUUAUGCAACUCACCAUGCCUUCCGGAAAGAGCCCUACA